Molecule: ribosomal RNA, 576 nt
Filed under: Cetrariella delisei
Lineage: Eukaryota; Fungi; Ascomycota; Lecanoromycetes; Lecanorales; Parmeliaceae
Description: eukaryotic LSU rRNA
Rfam family: 5.8S ribosomal RNA (bases 231-384)
Source: RNAcentral
AAGUCGUAACAAGGUUUCCGUAGGUGAACCUGCGGAAGGAUCAUUACUGAGAGAGGGGCUUCGCGCUCCCGGGGGCUUCGGCCCCUAACUCUUCACCCAUUGUCUAUCUACCUUUGUUGCUUUGGCGGGUCCUGAGGACCUCUCGCGCCGGCGCACCCGCCGGCGAGUGCCCGCCAGAGGCCCAUUAAAAUCUACUUAUCAGUGAUGUCCGAGUGAAAAACAAUAAUUAAAACUUUCAACAACGGAUCUCUUGGUUCCAGCAUCGAUGAAGAACGCAGCGAAAUGCGAUAACUAAUGUGAAUUGCAGAAUUCAGUGAAUCAUCGAGUCUUUGAACGCACAUUGCGCCCCUCGGUAUUCCGGGGGGCAUGCCUGUUCGAGCGUCAUUAUACCCCUCAAGCGUAGCUUGGUAUUGGGCCUCGCCCCCGUGGCGUGCCCGAAAAGCAGUGGCGGUCCGGUGCGACUUUAAGCGUAGUAAAAUCAUCCCACUUUGAAAGAUCGCCCCGUGGCCGGCCAGACAACCCCACAUAUUCCAAAUCAUUGACCUCGGAUCAGGUAGGGAUACCCGCUGAACUUAA